Xiphophorus maculatus (southern platyfish) is the source of this 1575-nucleotide long non-coding RNA. RefSeq lists it as uncharacterized. Lineage: Eukaryota; Metazoa; Chordata; Actinopteri; Cyprinodontiformes; Poeciliidae. The transcript has 2 exons. The record is from RefSeq and is a predicted model, not a curated record.
UUGAAACUCAGAAUUGUAUUUUUUUGUAGAACAUUUCUGAGAUUAAUCUCAAAAUUUCUGGAUUUUUUGGUGAACAUUUAUUCCUUGUUUUUGUCUACAAUACGCCGUCAUGCAAAAAACUCAUUGUUGCACAACUUGAGAAACAGUUUGCAGUUCUGGUGUUAUUUAUUAAUCGCUAACAGGAUCAUCUUGACGUAACGUUACGCUCUUAAUGAAAAGAAAUCACGUCAGCAGAAAACCGUAGUUGAGCAUCAAGAGCUUCUCCAUGACGUUAGCCUGAGCGGCUAACUGCCAGCUGCUUAGCUACAAUCUUCUACACAAUUUCAACAAGAGAAUGUCAAUAUGUUAGCUAAUUUGCUAAUGUUUUCUUUGCUAGCAUAAAUUAAUCAGUUAGCUCUGAGUUGCACUAAAGUUAGCUGGUGUUGCUGCUUUUAGCGGGUUGGAAACAGGAAGUAGUGCCUCAGAUCAGGAAGUUAUUUCAUUAGUUCUUCAUAGUGUGAUCCUCUCAUCUGAAACCCAGCAGCUUUUUGGAUAGCUAGUAAUGCUAGUGUUAGCUAAUGUGCUAACAGUAGCAUUGCUAAUAAGGUUCAGCUGAACACAACAAUCCCUGCUAACUUAUUAUCCCAGUUUUGUGAUAAUUACUGUUUGUUUCUUUCUCUGUGGAAAAACUACAAAUUACUGAAUAUUUAAAGUUAUUUUAUUACUUUCUGAACUCUUUAACAUCCCAGAUUUCGCUCAAAUCAAACAUAUUGUCUCAUAAAGACGUUCUGUGUAAAAACUGAACAAACUGCCCCACUUCACUUUGAGCCUGCAGGCUUUCUGUCUCAGAGGAAACCGACCUUUGCUCUGUAAAUACUCCCAGCACCCAGUUUGUGUACAUAAAGCGAGCGACGACCAAACUCAUGUACCGACUCAGAGGGGAGGCUGGAUUAAAGAGGCAGCGUUUCGCCGUUUCCUGUGAAGUGAGGCAGACUGUAAAUGCAUGGAGGUUUAUUUCCCUGACUGAUCUUUGCAGUGGAGCUCACACCUGCUGCAGUGUGUGUUCAAACCUGCAGCUAAUGAGCCGCUUUGCACCAGCGCUCAGCAGGAGGUUCCCUGGAAACGAGCCGCUUCGUAUCGGACCGCACCGGGUUCCUCUCCUUCUGCUCAUCAUACAGCUGAGUGUCACUUAUUACAAAUGUAUCCAGGUUACCAUGGAAACCCUGAUUACUCGUUUGUGUGUUACGAUCAGCUGGAGGAGCUGAUCCAUGUUAAAAUACCAGUGAUGAAAAGACAAACAGUGAUUUAAAUUUUCUGCCGGUGAUGAUGUGACUUCUCCACAUUUCGUCGCCAUGGCAACGAUGCGGACCACCCACGGUGAUCUGACUCUGGUCGAAUCGACCUUCAUCACUCUGAGUGAAGACCUGAAGCGUAAACACAACCUGGACGUGUGAGGAGAGACACAAACUGCAACAGAGAUGAACUAAUGCAUUCAUUCAUUCAUUCAUUCAUUCAGUCACCAUGACUGUAAAGAUGGUUCACAAUUGUUCUACAUUAUAUUUUGUCUGAAAUAAAAAUGAAUGGUGUGACACUGAA